This 591-nucleotide ribosomal RNA is filed under the name Cryptosporidium parvum. Its description in RNAcentral is "SSU rRNA". It matches the Rfam family "Eukaryotic small subunit ribosomal RNA", at positions 456 to 1080 of the family's 1831-position model. The record is from RNAcentral. Lineage: Eukaryota; Apicomplexa; Conoidasida; Eucoccidiorida; Cryptosporidiidae.
ACAGGGAGGUAGUGACAAGAAAUAACAAUACAGGACUUUUUGGUUUUGUAAUUGGAAUGAGUUAAGUAUAAACCCCUUUACAAGUAUCAAUUGGAGGGCAAGUCUGGUGGCAGCAGCCGCGGUAAUUCCAGCUCCAAUAGCGUAUAUUAAAGUUGUUGCAGUUAAAAAGCUCGUAGUUGGAUUUCUGUUAAUAAUUUAUAUAAAAUAUUUUGAUGAAUAUUUAUAUAAUAUUAACAUAAUUCAUAUUACUAUAUAUUUUAGUAUAUGAAAUUUUACUUUGAGAAAAUUAGAGUGCUUAAAGCAGGCAUAUGCCUUGAAUACUCCAGCAUGGAAUAAUAUUAAAGAUUUUUAUCUUUCUUAUUGGUUCUAAGAUAAGAAUAAUGAUUAAUAGGGACAGUUGGGGGCAUUUGUAUUUAACAGUCAGAGGUGAAAUUCUUAGAUUUGUUAAAGACAAACUAAUGCGAAAGCAUUUGCCAAGGAUGUUUUCAUUAAUCAAGAACGAAAGUUAGGGGAUCGAAGACGAUCAGAUACCGUCGUAGUCUUAACCAUAAACUAUGCCAACUAGAGAUUGGAGGUUGUUCCUUACUCCUU